Long non-coding RNA from Suricata suricatta (meerkat), 3602 nucleotides. RefSeq lists it as uncharacterized. NCBI's taxonomy places the organism in Eukaryota, Metazoa, Chordata, Mammalia, Carnivora, Herpestidae. The transcript is spliced from 2 exons. The record is from RefSeq and is a predicted model, not a curated record.
AGACACAAGUCUCCCUUUCCCAUAAAAAAAAGGAAGAAGAAGAAGAAGAAAAAGAAGAAGAAGAAAGGGAAAGAAAGAAACCACAAUUUCCUUUACAGGACAGCACAGAUGGUCCCCACCCUUCCCAAGGGCUCGCCAGGCCCGAGCACUUCACUCAAAACUGCUCACCCUGAUGCUGACCAGAAACUGGAUGCUUGCGCACGACCGUGUGUGUACACGGGCCUAAUCUCCUCGCGCAGGAAAAGCAGAUCUGGGUGCUCUGGAAAUACUGUGGGCUUAACAAGAUGGAGUAAGGGAUGUGGAGGGGCCCAGCUGGAUUAACAGCUUUCAAAUCCAAGCGCGGACUGCAAGCCUCCCUGGAAUGGCUCCCAAGGCCCUGGAUUCAGGCCUGGAGAAACAUGGGCCAAUGUCCCAUCCGGUGGCCCAAUCGGUGCCACGGGCCACGAAGUGAGUGUGAAAGAAGGUAACCAGGUACCAUGAGUCACCAGGGAAGGAGGGCGUGACAGCCUCACAGGGAGGCCGCUGUGCUGAGAACACAGCAGAAUUCGGAAGCCAGACAGACCAGACUUGGCCUCCUGGCUCCAGUCCUACGAGUCAGAGCGGUUACCCAAAGGCUCAGAGCCCUCAUUUCCUCCCCAGGCUAGGAUGAGGAUUUUGACUCUACGUCUGAAAUACAAGACAUGGUGCACAAUGGAUGAAGAGCAACAUUUGUUGGCAAGGCCAUCAUCAUUAUUCUUCAGUAAAGCUUUGCCUGUACAGCCAAGUUCUCCCCAGCAGAGCACAACCCUCUCACAUGCCAUCUUGAGGGGAAGGCCAACAGGAAGGUCCAAGCCAAUCCUCGCACCUGGGCUGAAGGAGAGGAAAAGUAAACUUGGGGCCAGGUUUAUAGUUGCUUUCUGACCAAGCAAGAAGGGCUCCACUCAGCCACUGUCAACAGCGUCAGCACCUUGGAGCUCAAACUGAGGAAUCAUCCCAAGUCCCUGCUUCCCACAUGCCCCAGUUGGCCUUGGAGACAAGCCCUUUAGUAUGUGAAGCAUCUGUUGAACACUCAGCUGGCUGGUAGAAGUCGGACGCUCUGUAUCUGCUGACCAACCACAAUGGGGCCACCAUCAGUGAGACUACCCACCACACAGCCACCAAGGGCGGAUCUCACAUACAGACCCACUGGUGACGACCUUCUUCUCAACCUCUAUUUGGCAUUCUGAGAGAUUUCCACACAAGGUCUGGGACAGCUCAGUGACUGGCCUUGGUCAUGCUGCCCAGACGCAAAUCCAAGGCCAAUGAGGUAGGCAGACAUUAUAUGCCUUGAACAUGUGCCAAGACUGGACACAUGCACCACCUAGCCAGUACCACAGACCCAACAUGAUGGUGAUCUCCCGCCCAGGCCCUGACCACCAUAUCUAAAAACUGCACCUGCCCCCCCUCACACUUUAUCCCCGUAUCCUACUUCACUUCUCUUCAUAGUCCUGAGGUCUACCUGCCUUCCCAUUAUACGUCAGCUCCAUGAGAUGGGGAUUUGGUCUGUUUGGGUUUUAGCAACAUCCUCCACACAUAAAUAGGGUUUGGCACAGAGUAGGUAUUGAAUGAUCAGUUAACUGGUUUAAUUAGCCAGAGGCCAGGGUAGUCAAAGAGAAGGUCAAAAACAAAAUCACAUCUGACUUAACUUAAAAGGAAGUUUUAAAAAGCACUUGAAGCCAUGCCAAGGAGUCUCUGCGGCUGCUUAGCUAGAUUGGGCAUCUCAGUUUCUUUUUUUCUCCCUUCCCCACCUCCCCUCCCCCCCCAUAUAUUUUUUCAUAACGUUUCGAAACUGGUGGCACAUGAAAGUUGGGAGCUGAGGGAUGAGAACUUCACAGAAAAAGGAACUAGCCCUGGGGGAACACAGAGCGGGAAUUUUCUGGGGACUGAGUCACCCUCUGCCACCUGGCCUGAUCUGGCCAGCUGGCCACAGCAGCGACAGCAGUCACUUACUGAGGCUUGACCCAGCACAGGCACCUGAGCUGGACACUCAGCCUUAUGACAGGCCUAUGACACAGUCACAGGGAUGCUACCUCUAAUAUGGGUUGGAUUCUAACAUCGAUGGGUAGGGGUCAGGCUCGGGCAUCAGCACACUAACUCAUGAAGUGCGCCAACACAGCAAAGCACAUGCCGUUCCCUUGAGCUCCAGCACUGGCACAGGAGAAGCAAUGGGCUUGUCUUCAGGGACUCCAGUGUACACAAAUUGUGUAUCUUUGAUCCCUGGAACCAUACUCACCACAGCAAGAUAAACAUUGCAUGAGAGCACCAGGACACCAACAAGAAAGAUCAGGUGUGCGUUUCCAAUCCCACAUUCUGUCCAGGCCAAGUCCACGCACACAGAGCUAGAAGGAGUGGAGCCAGAAUCUGACCCCACCCCAUCAACGUGUUGAGACAGACUCAGAUCCGUCAUCACAGGCCUUUCGAUCCAAGGACAGCACCCAGCAAUGUAAUCCCAGCCCCACAGAAAGAGACCCCCAUCUUUUAGAUCUUCCUUCCACACUAUCAGUGCUCCCCACAUGGCUGCUGAGUAUUCAUCAUCUGCAUCAUGCUUUAGAGUCCACUGGGGACUUCCACGGGCUCCAGGUGGGCAGCCCUGUGGUGGCGGUCCUCCCUAUCUCACUGCUCUGCAAAUCUCAGAGACGUAAGAGACGACAGAGUCCCAGAGGAGGACUGGAGUUGACCCAGGUCUCCUGACGCCAGGGCCCAAGCUCAUUCUACAUCUCAAUGCAGGUUACCUCUGCUCUGUGAUAGUUUACAUUCAGCGCCCUCCCACUUGUUCAGGCUCCCCGCAUCCUCAUUCUACCCUUUAUAAAAAAGAGCAGGCAGCUAAGAGUCUGUACACCAAGACUCCAAAAGUCAGUGGUCACUGUGCAGAAGAUCGGACGGUUCUUUUGGUCAGAGGCAAGCCGGGAAGUAGGAUGUAAAUCAGUUUACAAAUGUCUAUAAUCUGUUCAAGUCCUUUAAAACCGCGGGCACUACCCACAUCCACAACCCCCAGUCUCCUCUUCCUCCUUAGUAAAAAAAUUGCUAUUUUAUAUAUUGCACCCAGGACUAAAAGGCUAUGUUUCUCAGCCUCCCUUGCAGCUAGGUAUGUGCGUGCGACUAAGUCACGAGCAGGGAGAUGUAAGCAGACACGUUCCACGGAGAUUCCAGAGAAGAGCUUAGAGAGAGCUAAUCCCACAGAGAAGGGCCUCCACUUUGGCCGGCGCCCUUCUCCCCUCUGCCAGCAUUCAGCUCAGACAUGAAAACCGGAUCCCGGGAGGCACGCUGCACCGCGGAGCACUGGCAGACGCCUGUGUAGGAAGAUGGAAGCCUGGGUCCCAGAUGAUUCCCAGGGCUCUCACAGCCCUGGACUGCUACCUCCAGCUCACUUUUAUGUGGAGGAGGAAGGAUCCUUUACGUCACUCCAAGCUGCUAUUAAACUGCUGCUCCUCUGAGAGGUUUUUCAUUGUUAUACACAGCAAGAGCUGAUCCUAACUAACAUCAGCCCAAAGCAAAUAUACACAGCAAGAGCUGAUCCUAACUAACAUCAGCCCAAAGCAAAAAUAACAAAGCCCUGCCCCCACCUUUACUCCCAACCAGCUCCA